CUAGCUAUGUACAUGUGCUAGAAUUCUAUGGAGAAUUCUAGAGAGUCUAGAGAGUUCUACUACUUUCUAGCUAGGUACAUGUGCUAGAAUUCCAUGGAGAAUUCUAGAGUAUUUCCAAGCUCAAAUGGACUAGAGUUCACUAGAACAUUCCGGAAUCUAGAGUUGCCUAGAAUGUUCCGGAAUUGGGCUAUUUAUUUUUCAU
This 202-nucleotide long non-coding RNA is filed under the name Nicotiana benthamiana. RNAcentral's name for it is "long non-coding RNA (NBEN_LNC030725)". The record is from RNAcentral. Lineage: Eukaryota; Viridiplantae; Streptophyta; Magnoliopsida; Solanales; Solanaceae.